AAAGAGACCCAGAUUAUUUCUUCCCCCUCUCUCUGCUGUUCUUCCCCCUUCCCCCCCUCUCUGCUAAGGUUUCCUUUCCCGUUACUCCAUUGAUUUGAUCGAUAGCAGCUUCUUCACCUGAGAUCACGCCCCUCAGUCCCAAGAGGCCACCAUCAUGUGCAGAAGGUUCGCAUCUUCACACCUCAAAACCCUAGCCGCCGGCGCUGCGUCACCCGCCUCCCGCCGAUCCGCCUAAUCCAGCUCUCGGCUCGUCGAUGAUCGGAACGGAGGAUCGGAACAGUGAGGUUGACGGAAAUUGGAAGGACGAAAUGAUGGGGCACGUAGUGGCGGGAGAGGAUCGGUGAGGGUUGAAGAAGCGGUAUAUUCGGUCUUUCGCCUCUCCUUCUUGUUGACAAAAGGCAUGUGGAAGGGUGUGCUUGGAAGGGCAGGAUUAGCAAGAGAUGUUCUUAUCUGGGAUUCAUAAUCUGCCUGGAUUGUUUUACCGAAACGCAGAUCUUUGAAUGCUAUUAUUAUAAAGCUACUGUGGACUCACUACCUUUUACUAUGUCUGUCCGAAAAGAAAUAUAAAGGUGUUACAAAAUGCGACUAAAUCUAUUGUUGAUGUUGGGAGAUAGAUCAUUGGAACUGUUAAUCUCAAGAUCUCACCUAUAUGCAGCAAGAAUGAGUUUUACUAAUUAGUUGAGCAAGAUCCCAUUUGUGGAGAUGGCCUAGCAAGAUUACAUUUGUGGAUAAUGAUUGGAUAUAUGGUUUAAUUUGUUAUGACUUUGAAAUGUGCUAGUCAAAUUCAGGGUUGUAUGUUCAAGCUUAAGGUCAUUAACAUUGAAUACCAGGUAUCAACAAUUUUUGCAUGGUUA
Non-coding RNA from Punica granatum (pomegranate), 854 nucleotides. The record is from RefSeq and is a predicted model, not a curated record. NCBI's taxonomy places the organism in Eukaryota, Viridiplantae, Streptophyta, Magnoliopsida, Myrtales, Lythraceae.